AGAGUUUGAUCAUGGCUCAGAUUGAACGCUGGCGGCAGGCCUAACACAUGCAAGUCGAGCGGUAGAGAGAAGCUUGCUUCUCUUGAGAGCGGCGGACGGGUGAGUAAUGCCUAGGAAUCUGCCUGGUAGUGGGGGAUAACGUCCGGAAACGGACGCUAAUACCGCAUACGUCCUACGGGAGAAAGCAGGGGACCUUCGGGCCUUGCGCUAUCAGAUGAGCCUAGGUCGGAUUAGCUAGUUGGUGGGGUAAUGGCUCACCAAGGCGACGAUCCGUAACUGGUCUGAGAGGAUGAUCAGUCACACUGGAACUGAGACACGGUCCAGACUCCUACGGGAGGCAGCAGUGGGGAAUAUUGGACAAUGGGCGAAAGCCUGAUCCAGCCAUGCCGCGUGUGUGAAGAAGGUCUUCGGAUUGUAAAGCACUUUAAGUUGGGAGGAAGGGCAGUAAAUUAAUACUUUGCUGUUUUGACGUUACCGACAGAAUAAGCACCGGCUAACUCUGUGCCAGCAGCCGCGGUAAUACAGAGGGUGCAAGCGUUAAUCGGAAUUACUGGGCGUAAAGCGCGCGUAGGUGGUUCGUUAAGUUGGAUGUGAAAUCCCCGGGCUCAACCUGGGAACUGCAUUCAAAACUGACGAGCUAGAGUAUGGUAGAGGGUGGUGGAAUUUCCUGUGUAGCGGUGAAAUGCGUAGAUAUAGGAAGGAACACCAGUGGCGAAGGCGACCACCUGGACUGAUACUGACACUGAGGUGCGAAAGCGUGGGGAGCAAACAGGAUUAGAUACCCCGGUAGUCC
This 793-nucleotide ribosomal RNA is filed under the name uncultured bacterium. RNAcentral's name for it is "bacterial SSU rRNA". It matches the Rfam family "Bacterial small subunit ribosomal RNA", at positions 8 to 796 of the family's 1533-position model. The record is from RNAcentral.